AUACGGAGGGGGCUAGCGUUGUUCGGAAUUACUGGGCGUAAAGCGCACGUAGGCGGAUUAAAAAGUUAGAGGUGAAAUCCCAGGGCUUAACCCUGGAACUGCCUUUAAAACUAGUAGUCUAGAGUCCGAGAGAGGUGAGUGGAAUUCCAAGUGUAGAGGUGAAAUUCGUAGAUAUUUGGAGGAACACCAGUGGCGAAGGCGGCUCACUGGCUCGAUACUGACGCUGAGGUGCGAAAGCGUGGGGAGCAAACAGAAUUAGAAACCCCAGUAGUCC
This 274-nucleotide ribosomal RNA is filed under the name uncultured bacterium. Its description in RNAcentral is "partial 16S ribosomal RNA". It matches the Rfam family "Bacterial small subunit ribosomal RNA", at positions 523 to 796 of the family's 1533-position model. The record is from RNAcentral.